CCUACGGGGGGCUGCAGUAAGGAAUAUUGGUCAAUGGAGGAAACUCUGAACCAGCCAUCCCGCGUGAAGGAUGAAGGGGCUCUGCCUUGUAACCUUCUUUUGUCUGGGGCGAAAAAGCUCGAUUUAUCGAGAACUGACGGUACCAGAAGAAUAAGCACCGGCUAACUCCGUGCCAGCAGCCGCGGUAAUACGGAGGGUGCAAGAGUUAUCCGGAAUAAAGGGUGUGAAGGCGGGCGUGUAAGUCAGAGUUGAAAGGCCGGGGCUUAACCAUGGAAUUGCCAUUGAUACUGCAGAGCUUGAAUGAGGUUGAGGUUGGCGGAAUGUGACAUGUAGCGGUGAAAUGCUUAGAUAUGUCAUGGAACACCGAUUGCGAAGGCAGCUGACUGGACCUAUAUUGACGCUGAGGCACGAAAGCGUGGGGAGCGAACAGGAUUAGAUACCCGUGUAGUC
This 450-nucleotide ribosomal RNA is filed under the name uncultured bacterium. RNAcentral's name for it is "partial 16S ribosomal RNA". It matches the Rfam family "Bacterial small subunit ribosomal RNA", at positions 338 to 795 of the family's 1533-position model. The record is from RNAcentral.